GGGUUGUGAGGUUAAGCGACUAAGCGUACACGGUGGAUGCCCUGGCAGUCAGAGGCGAUGAAGGACGUGCUAAUCUGCGAUAAGCGUCGGUAAGGUGAUAUGAACCGUUAUAACCGGCGAUUUCCGAAUGGGGAAACCCAGUGUGUUUCGACACACUAUCAUUAACUGAAUCCAUAGGUUAAUGAGGCGAACCGGGGGAACUGAAACAUCUAAGUACCCCGAGGAAAAGAAAUCAACCGAGAUUCCCCCAGUAGCGGCGAGCGAACGGGGAGGAGCCCAGAGUCUGAAUCAGUGUGUGUGUUAGUGGAAGCGUCUGGAAAGGCGUGCGAUACAGGGUGACAGCCCCGUACACAAAAAUGCACAUAUUGUGAGCUCGAUGAGUAGGGCGGGACACGUGGUAUCCUGUCUGAAUAUGGGGGGACCAUCCUCCAAGGCUAAAUACUCCUGACUGACCGAUAGUGAACCAGUACCGUGAGGGAAAGGCGAAAAGAACCCCGGCGAGGGGAGUGAAAAAGAACCUGAAACCGUGUACGUACAAGCAGUGGGAGCCUCUUAAUGGGGUGACUGCGUACCUUUUGUAUAAUGGGUCAGCGACUUAUAUUCUGUAGCAAGGUUAACCGAAUAGGGGAGCCGAAGGGAAACCGAGUCUUAACUGGGCGUUAAGUUGCAGGGUAUAGACCCGAAACCCGGUGAUCUAGCCAUGGGCAGGUUGAAGGUUGGGUAACACUAACUGGAGGACCGAACCGACUAAUGUUGAAAAAUUAGCGGAUGACUUGUGGCUGGGGGUGAAAGGCCAAUCAAACCGGGAGAUAGCUGGUUCUCCCCGAAAGCUAUUUAGGUAGCGCCUCGUGAAUUCAUCUCCGGGGGUAGAGCACUGUUUCGGCAAGGGGGUCAUCCCGACUUACCAACCCGAUGCAAACUGCGAAUACCGGAGAAUGUUAUCACGGGAGACACACGGCGGGUGCUAACGUCCGUCGUGAAGAGGGAAACAACCCAGACCGCCAGCUAAGGUCCCAAAGUCAUGGUUAAGUGGGAAACGAUGUGGGAAGGCCCAGACAGCCAGGAUGUUGGCUUAGAAGCAGCCAUCAUUUAAAGAAAGCGUAAUAGCUCACUGGUCGAGUCGGCCUGCGCGGAAGAUGUAACGGGGCUAAACCAUGCACCGAAGCUGCGGCAGCGACACUAUGUGUUGUUGGGUAGGGGAGCGUUCUGUAAGCCUGUGAAGGUGGCCUGUGAGGGUUGCUGGAGGUAUCAGAAGUGCGAAUGCUGACAUAAGUAACGAUAAAGCGGGUGAAAAGCCCGCUCGCCGGAAGACCAAGGGUUCCUGUCCAACGUUAAUCGGGGCAGGGUGAGUCGACCCCUAAGGCGAGGCCGAAAGGCGUAGUCGAUGGGAAACAGGUUAAUAUUCCUGUACUUGGUGUUACUGCGAAGGGGGGACGGAGAAGGCUAUG
This 1448-nucleotide ribosomal RNA is filed under the name Escherichia coli. RNAcentral's name for it is "partial 23S ribosomal RNA". It matches the Rfam family "Bacterial large subunit ribosomal RNA", at positions 1 to 1486 of the family's 2925-position model. Lineage: Bacteria; Pseudomonadati; Pseudomonadota; Gammaproteobacteria; Enterobacterales; Enterobacteriaceae. The record is from RNAcentral.